Molecule: ribosomal RNA, 496 nt
Filed under: uncultured bacterium
Lineage: Bacteria
Description: partial 16S ribosomal RNA
Rfam family: Bacterial small subunit ribosomal RNA
Source: RNAcentral
AUGAACGCUGGCGGCGUGCCUAAUACAUGCAAGUCGAGCGAACAGACGAGGAGCUUGCUCCUCUGACGUUAGCGGCGGACGGGUGAGUAACACGUGGAUAACCUACCUAUAAGACUGGGAUAACUUCGGGAAACCGGAGCUAAUACCGGAUAAUAUAUUGAACCGCAUGGUUCAAUAGUGAAAGACGGUUUUGCUGUCACUUAUAGAUGGAUCCGCGCCGCAUUAGCUAGUUGGUAAGGUAACGGCUUACCAAGGCGACGAUGCGUAGCCGACCUGAGAGGGUGAUCGGCCACACUGGAACUGAGACACGGUCCAGACUCCUACGGGAGGCAGCAGUAGGGAAUCUUCCGCAAUGGGCGAAAGCCUGACGGAGCAACGCCGCGUGAGUGAUGAAGGUCUUCGGAUCGUAAAACUCUGUUAUUAGGGAAGAGCAAAUGUGUAAGUAACUAUGCACGUCUUGACGGUACCUAAUCAGAAAGCCACGGCUAACUACGUG